This 436-nucleotide small RNA is filed under the name Tethytimea sp. QM G333629. Its description in RNAcentral is "partial large subunit ribosomal RNA". Lineage: Eukaryota; Metazoa; Porifera; Demospongiae; Tethyida; Tethyidae. The record is from RNAcentral.
CAAAAAGACCGCAAAACCGUUAGGAGGGAAGCGAAUGCAGCUGAAGUAGUUCUCUUCCAGGCUCAGGAGGCGUUGUCUCGUUCUGCUGGCUGGCGGAAACCGUUAGGUGUCGGCAGUCGGACGGGCGGGCAACCAAUCUGCACUCCUGGAGAGAGCUGGCCAACGACAGUUGUCUCUGGCUCACAAGGGCGGUUGGGUAGGUAGCUCCUCCCUCCAGAGGAGAACUAAUUGCCAGCCGUCUGGCAGACUGGACACGACUGAGGAGAGUUGCGAACUUUCGCACGUGCAGUGUAGGCCCUUCUGGGCCGGGGCACCUCUAUCCGCUUGGGCACCGCUCUGGGGACUGCUUGCAGUGUCCAGUGACGAAUGUCUGCUCGGUUGGGGGGAAGUCCACUCCUUGCACUGCAGUCGUUGGUGUCCAAAUGGCUGCAUCCGA